UGUUAAGGUCCCUGGCUGUACCUCCAUCUAGGGACCAGACAUGGUGGCCACUUCCAGGAGCAGUGAGAAGCCAAGGCAGGCAGGGAACCUGCUUUAGCCCCGCUGUGCUGCUAAGACCUGCCUGAGUCCCAGGUUGCAACAGGUGUAACAAACCAGAUCGAGAUGCUGCCGCACCUGAUCCUGGGACCAACCCUUUAUUAACCAGUUGUCGAGGUGCCCAGCCAGGGAGUGCCCCGGGACCUAGUCUGUGGAGACAGAGAAGGCGGGGGGAGGGGGGCAGAAUGGCUCCCUGGCCUACUGAAGAGUAUGGAGGUUCAAGGAGUGGAAGGUAACACAGGAGUCUUUAAGGCCAUGGAGUCUCAAGUCUGUGAGCUUGGAGUAGAGCCCCAUCACCUCAAAUGGGAGGUCCUGAAUAGUGGCCUGCAUCUCCUGGAACAACCCGAAGGACUGCAAUCAGGAGCUGUGCCUCAUGGCCACCACGGAGGCGACCAACCUGACUCAGCGACAUCCCAGGCCAUCUAAAGGGCCCCCCUUGCCACCGCUGAGCCUUCAUCCACCAAAACUGAGAACUCCUGGGCUCGGUCCUGCGGGAAGGCUUCCUUAAAUUUGUUAAGGAAGUCUCACAGGUUAAAACUGUACUUGCCUAAGAGGGGCUGUGGUUAGACACCCGAAAUUGCAGGCUGGCUGUGGAAUAAAUCUUUCUGCCUAACAAGUCCAGUCUCUUGGAGUCUGUUUUUCAGAGUGCCACUGACUUGGCCCUGCCUCUUCCUUUCAUUAACAGCAGACAUGACUAGUGACGCCGCUGGAGGAUGUGUAUACAGAUAUUCUAACCCUUUUGCAUGGACGUAAUACUUCUAAGGUGGCGGAAAAGUAGUAGGCAGAAUCAA
Mauremys reevesii (Reeves's turtle) is the source of this 887-nucleotide long non-coding RNA. RefSeq lists it as uncharacterized. The transcript is spliced from 3 exons. NCBI's taxonomy places the organism in Eukaryota, Metazoa, Chordata, Testudines, Geoemydidae. The record is from RefSeq and is a predicted model, not a curated record.